GUGUCUUCUGAUUUUAUUCAAAUUGGACCUGGCAACACUGAAAUAAUGUCAGAAUCUUUUCUUUGACAUUAUUUACAAUUUAUAUUAUUGUACAUAAUUGGUUUUUUCACUAUUCUUAAGCUAAAAAAAACACCUGUUUGUCCUCCAAAGAAUACCUUAUUGGAUUCACAGAAUGAUUGAGGAUUUGAGGGAAGCAUGUUAAGACUGUGACAAUAUGGUCUUAAGGCAGCCGGCCUCAUUGAGAACAAGAAAAUAUUCUGCUUCAUGUAGCGGUUGUUAUUUGUUAAUAUGACAUGUCUCGGCAGUGUAGUGACCCUGUGCUUAAUUAAGGCUUCAGGCUCAAAUCAUGGUAAACCAAAAUGUAAGCGGCCGGUUGAAAAAGUAGCAGAGUCGAAAAUGGAAAUUAAUGAGCUGCAGAAGUAAAUUUUAGAAGAAUAAUUCUCUUCUUUGUUGUAUCCUUGUGGCUGAGGGACAUGACGAAUGAGGCCAUUCUUUACCAGUGCUCUUCACGCCACUCAAUCCUGGGCCCGGUGCAUGCUAGCCUGCAGUGGUCUUUGUCAGAGAUGUUAUUGUGUCUGCCCAAUGUGUGCCCAUGCUGCCACUUCUUCACUUCCUUGCCGUGUCCUGUGAUUAUGGGAAUAAUAUGCAAAUAAAAACCAACAAUGGGCCAUCGAAGAACAGGAGAGGGCAUGUGGGCCUUAGAGAAAGAGUUGUUAAUGUGAAGACUAAAUAAAUUCAACAAAUAAAAUCUCAACUAUAAUACUGUCUUUGGUACACCCGCUACCAUCGCGUCAAAUAGUGAAAGUGCAGUUCAGUGUAAGCAAAGACAGUGUACAAGAUAUACCACUCACCUAUGGCAUUAGUGUUACUAGACCACAUUAAUACAUAAAGACUAUUUUUCUAAACUUGUCCAAAAAUUUUAUUAAAAAGGUGUCGGAACGCCUUACAGGUGUCUCGAGGGACCAAAAUAGCGGGUUCCUUCUUUGCUCAGAGGUUGAGUCUGGCGGUGCAAAGGGGAAACGCCGCAAGCAUUCUUGGGUCUAUGCCGGAGGCAGGGGAUCUGAGGGGGUUUUUUAUAUUUAGUUAUAACCUGCUUGUGUUAGUUUUAGUCUUUAGGGUUUUAAGAUUUAAUUAUAAGAUUAAAUAUAUUGUUCGUAGUUGUUGUUGAAUAAGCAGUGUUUGUGUGUCUGACUAACGAAAAUAUAAAUUCAGAUUCUAAACGUCUAAACUUGUGUAUAGCUCUGUGUUGUCUUAAUAAAUCCUAUUGGAAACGC
Molecule: long non-coding RNA, 1274 nt
Filed under: Leguminivora glycinivorella
Lineage: Eukaryota; Metazoa; Arthropoda; Insecta; Lepidoptera; Tortricidae
Description: uncharacterized LOC125224997
Source: RNAcentral